Molecule: ribosomal RNA, 583 nt
Filed under: Pseudomonas sp. StFRB006
Lineage: Bacteria; Pseudomonadati; Pseudomonadota; Gammaproteobacteria; Pseudomonadales; Pseudomonadaceae
Description: bacterial SSU rRNA
Rfam family: Bacterial small subunit ribosomal RNA
Source: RNAcentral
ACGGGUGAGUAAUGCCUAGGAAUCUGCCUGGUAGUGGGGGAUAACGUUCGGAAACGAACGCUAAUACCGCAUACGUCCUACGGGAGAAAGCAGGGGACCUUCGGGCCUUGCGCUAUCAGAUGAGCCUAGGUCGGAUUAGCUAGUUGGUGAGGUAAUGGCUCACCAAGGCGACGAUCCGUAACUGGUCUGAGAGGAUGAUCAGUCACACUGGAACUGAGACACGGUCCAGACUCCUACGGGAGGCAGCAGUGGGGAAUAUUGGACAAUGGGCGAAAGCCUGAUCCAGCCAUGCCGCGUGUGUGAAGAAGGUCUUCGGAUUGUAAAGCACUUUAAGUUGGGAGGAAGGGCAGUUACCUAAUACGUAAUUGUUUUGACGUUACCGACAGAAUAAGCACCGGCUAACUCUGUGCCAGCAGCCGCGGUAAUACAGAGGGUGCAAGCGUUAAUCGGAAUUACUGGGCGUAAAGCGCGCGUAGGUGGUUCGUUAAGUUGGAUGUGAAAUCCCCGGGCUCAACCUGGGAACUGCAUUCAAAACUGUCGAGCUAGAGUAUGGUAGAGGGUGGGUGGAAUUUCCUGUGUAGCG